Molecule: long non-coding RNA, 1878 nt
Filed under: Triticum aestivum (bread wheat)
Lineage: Eukaryota; Viridiplantae; Streptophyta; Magnoliopsida; Poales; Poaceae
Description: long non-coding RNA (TAES_LNC015082)
Source: RNAcentral
UUGACAAACACAUCAAUCUUGACAAAGCAUAGUUUUUACCAUCUCAAUAAUCACCCAGAACACACAAGUCACAAAAAGAUGACACUAUUUGCCGGUAUGAGAAACUUCAACUAGAUGAUCCAGAACACACAAGUCUGUAUCCACAUGCACAAAAUGCCAGCUCCAAAAUAACAAAAUCACCAAAUGGUCUACAACACAUAAGAUCCAUGAUUACAAGUUGGUUGGUCCGUAAACGCUGCAAAGUCAUCACGUCCAUGUGCACCAGUUGGCUAAGUACCUAGAAUUCUUGACAAAAUUUGUCAAGAAAGUGUAAUCAGCUCAAGUUGUUCAAAGCUCAUUUGUGGAUUAACACAGUCAGUCAAUAAAUCCUCAUGAUAUCAACGGCUCACAUGGUACUAUAUAGAACUAUGUUCAUGUGCUUGCAGUUUUAUCAACAAUGAAGGUAUUGACCAUCUGAAACAGAGAUCAUACAACCCAGUAGCUUAUUUUAUAGUCUAUUACAUAAGCAUUCACUGAAGAAAAGACAAACUCCCUCGCAACCUCUCUAGAUUUUUCAUGAUUAAGAGCUACAUAACCUCCCACGGAAAAGAGGAAGCGUCCAGUACGGAAAAACAAAAGAAGAGUCCGGCACCUAACCCCCCACGCACAAGAUAAGCGCCCUAGCAUGUGAAAGAAAAAAAACAGCCUGGACUCCUAUUUGAUGUGUCCUGUGGAUUUAAGAAAAAUACUAGCUCUACCAAAUAGAUAGUCCGAACAUUAGCGUUCUAUGAUAAUACAGUCGGUAUUGCUUAGUGCAUCAUGUUUAACUCGGACAUGGGUUUCACAAAAAGAAUAGCUCUACCAAGUAGAUUUGCACUUAUACAAAUCAAACUUAUAGUGACGACAAUGAUAUUAGGAGAUACUUUUUUUAUCUAAUGAAGUAUCUCUCUUCGCAUUCUUUUUAAAAAUAAUGCAUGCCUACAAUACAUUUGUUUUCAACAUAGUGCAGACACACACGCUCAUACAUACGCACAUACACGUAUCCAUAUAAACGCACGCACGCGCACCCUACCCCUAACCACCCAAUCACAUGUUGGUUCGCACCUACAAUAGAAUUUUAACUAUAAUAAAUCAUGCAUGGACGACUAAGUACCAAAAUAUGUGCGCUUAGUGUCAACAAUUUAUGUUCUAUCAUCAUGUUAUGUACAACAAUACCAUGUAGACUUAUGUUGCAUUGCCAUGCCAGGUAACCAAAGAGGUGCAGCCGUGCCAACAAAGACCUGGAUACCAGCAAAAGCAUCUAGACUUAUGACACCAGAAUAUUUUUCCUAAAAAACAGCAGGAUCAUAUUUCAUAGAAAUACAAACGCAUACCAAGGGAUCACUUUGAACUCUAGGAAAAAAUUCAACAGACCCAUGCAUGGACAUGUAUAUAAAUUGUCUAACAGUCAAAUACCUAUAAAAGGGAGACGCUCAUGUCCCAAUGAAUGAAAAAAAUAGAAGGGAGACGCUCAUGGACAAACGCAUACUACUAAUCAGCAACGCAUCUCUCGCUGCAAUCGUUGGCCUAUUUACAUUCACGUUGCAACCAACUAGCUUGGCCAAAUGGAUGCGUAAACUGGAUUGGUUGGCUUUGGGAAGACCCCUAUUGGUUCAGGCCCCUAUUGCUUCUGUUCUAAUACAUAGUCGCUUUGGGAAGACAUCAGUAUGAAUAAAGCCGAUAAAUAUAGUAUGCAUGCAGAUAGAUCCUACAUACAGAGAAACAAAUCAUGUCAUCUUGUAACUUCUAAACACACUAAAAGGCUAAAGGUAUACCUUAGAGAUAACUGACCAUGAUACCUACACUUUGUUCAAUGCCCUUCUCGGAUUGGUCAUCCAUCCAGUUUAUUCUCUCAACCAU